Molecule: ribosomal RNA, 292 nt
Filed under: uncultured Planctomycetota bacterium
Lineage: Bacteria; Pseudomonadati; Planctomycetota
Description: uncultured planctomycete partial 16S ribosomal RNA
Source: RNAcentral
GGACUACUGGGGUAUCUAAUCCCGUUCGCUCCCCUGGCUUUCGCGCCUCAGCGUCAGAAGGGGUCCAGCCCGCCGCCUUCGCCACCGGAGUUCCUAUGCAUAUCAACGCAUUUCACCGCUCCACGCAUAGUUCCGCGGGCCCCUACCCCCCUCGAGGCCGCCAGUAUCCGAGGCCGUUCCACGGUUGAGCCGUGGGAUUUCACCCCAGACUUGGCAGCCCGCCUACGCGCCCUUUAAGCCCAGUGAUUCCGAACAACGUUCGCACGGUUCGUCUUACCGCGGCUGCUGGCAC